UCCUGGUUAACCCAGGCAGUCUCAUUAGAGUUCCCGCCAUUACGCGUUGGCAACUAAUGAUAAGGGUUGCGCUCGUUGCGGGACUUAACCCAACACCUCACGGCACGAGCUGACGACAGCCAUGCAGCACCUGUGCAAACGCCCCGAAGGGAAAUGCUAUCUCUAACAUCGUCGUUUGCAUGUCAAGCCUGGGUAAGGUUCUUCGCGUUGCAUCGAAUUAAACCACAUGCUCCACUGCUUGUGCGGGUCCCCGUCAAUUCUUUUGAGUUUCACCCUUGCGAGCGUACUCCCCAGGCGGUAUACUUAUCGCGUUAGCUUCGGCACAACCGGGGUUGAGUCCAGUUACACCAAGUAUACAUCGUUUACAGUUAGGACUAC
Molecule: unclassified non-coding RNA, 378 nt
Filed under: uncultured Parachlamydiaceae bacterium
Lineage: Bacteria; Pseudomonadati; Chlamydiota; Chlamydiia; Parachlamydiales; Parachlamydiaceae
Description: contains 16S-23S intergenic spacer region
Source: RNAcentral